GGAAACUUGAAAAUAACAGAUCUGGUGAGCUAGACGACCUUGGACAAGGUGCCCAAACCGAGCCUCAGUAAUCCCAUCUAUAAAAUGGGGGUCAUGUCUACCAUCUAAGAGUUCUAUGAGGAUUCAAUGAACCAGUGUUCUACAACUGGGCGGUUGACUGCAUCCCGGAUCCACGAGAUCUGCUGGGCAGAAACCGAGGGAGCCAGCUGUCAUCGCCCGCAGCUGAGGCCUGAGAAGGCGCACCCUGCGUGCUCGCCGCGUACCCCCUUGUCUGGGAGGCCGCUAUCUGCACCCUGCACCUUGACAUCAACCUCUGCAUCCGCGUCUCCCCCCGC
Molecule: long non-coding RNA, 335 nt
Organism: Lontra canadensis (Northern American river otter)
Lineage: Eukaryota; Metazoa; Chordata; Mammalia; Carnivora; Mustelidae
Exons: 4
Source: RefSeq, a predicted model, not a curated record